ACGCUCGACACCUACGGGGGCAGCAGUCGGGAAUAUUGCGCAAUGGAGGAAACUCUGACGCAGUGACGCCGCGUGCAGGAAGAAGGUUUUCGGAUUGUAAACUGCUUUAGACAGGGAAGAAAAAGACAGUACCUGUAGAAUAAGCUCCGGCUAACUACGUGCCUAGCAGCCGCGGUAAUCUGAGCGGGCUGGCAAGGC
This 198-nucleotide ribosomal RNA is filed under the name uncultured bacterium. RNAcentral describes it as "partial 16S ribosomal RNA". It matches the Rfam family "Bacterial small subunit ribosomal RNA", at positions 328 to 539 of the family's 1533-position model. The record is from RNAcentral.